Molecule: long non-coding RNA, 187 nt
Organism: Salarias fasciatus (jewelled blenny)
Lineage: Eukaryota; Metazoa; Chordata; Actinopteri; Blenniiformes; Blenniidae
Exons: 3
Source: RefSeq, a predicted model, not a curated record
GGUCUCCAGAAGAGAUGUUGUGGAAGUGAUUCCUGGAGAGUUUCAAGGUCGACAAGUUUUGCAGAUUCUGCCUGGCAAGCAGCAAAGAUACACAGCAGCAAGAGAUGGCUUUGCAAGAGAAAUUCAUCAUGAGGGUUAUUGUCUCAGAGGGAGACAUCAGAAAAUUGACGAUGACAUCACGACCGGA